This 2114-nucleotide ribosomal RNA is filed under the name Lucilia cuprina (Australian sheep blowfly). RNAcentral's name for it is "eukaryotic LSU rRNA". It matches the Rfam family "Eukaryotic large subunit ribosomal RNA", at positions 32 to 1908 of the family's 3401-position model. Lineage: Eukaryota; Metazoa; Arthropoda; Insecta; Diptera; Calliphoridae. The record is from RNAcentral.
AUUUAAGCAUAUUAAUGAGGGGAGGAAAAGAAACUAACAAGGAUUUUCUUAGUAGCGGCGAGCGAAAAGAAAAAGUUCAGCACUAAGUCACUUUGUCUUAUGGCAAAUGUGAGAUGCAGUGUAUGGAAUGUCAAAUUUCUAGUAUGAGAAAUUAACGAUUUAAGUCCUUCUUAAAUGAGGCCAUUUACCCAAAGAGGGUGCCAGGCCCGUAUAACGUUAAUGAUUACUAGAUGGCAUUUCCAAAGAGUCGUGUUGCUUGAUAGUGCAGCACUAAGUGGGUGGUAAACUCCAUCUAAAACUAAAUAUAACCAUGAGACCGAUAGUAAACAAGUACCGUGAGGGAAAGUUGAAAAGAACUCUGAAUAGAGAGUUAAAUAGUACGUGAAACUGCUUAGAGGUUAAGCCCGAUGAACCUGAAUAUCCGUUAUGGAAAAUUCAUCAUUAUGAUUUUAAUAUUUAUAAUAUUAUAAUAAUGGUGUGCAUUUUUUCUAUAAAGGACAUUGUAAUCUAUUAACAGUUUAUUCAAAUUAUUUUGCUUGCAAUUUAACAUAGAAUAAAUGCUUUUGAUUUGAUAAAGUGUUGAUAGAUUUAUUAUAUAUAGUGCUUAAAUAUUUAUAUUUUAUAAUAGCAUAUUAAUCAUUGAUUUUUAUGUUUAUUAUAUGCACUUAUAUGAUUUACAAUGCGAAAGAUUCAGGAUACCUUCGGGACCGUCUUGAAACACGGACCAAGGAGUCUAACAUAUUUGCAAGUUAUUGGGAAUAAAAACCUAAUAGCGAAAUUAACAUAACUUUAAUGGGAUUAGUUUUUAGCCUAUUUAGUCUAUUAAUUCAAUCCCGGGGCGUUCUAUACAGUUAUGUAUAAUAAUAUUUAUAUUAUUUAUACCUCUAACUAGAGCGUACCUUGAGCAUAUAUGCUGUGACCCGAAAGAUGGUGAACUAUACUUGAUCAGGUUGAAGUCAGGGGAAACCCUGAUGGAAGACCGAAACAGUUCUGACGUGCAAAUCGAUUGUCAGAAUUGAGUAUAGGGGCGAAAGACCAAUCGAACCAUCUAGUAGCUGGUUCCCUCCGAAGUUUCCCUCAGGAUAGCUGGUGCAUUUAAAAAUUAUGUAAAAUAAUCUUAUCUGGUAAAGCGAAUGAUUAGAGGCCUUAGGGUCGAAACGAUCUUAACCUAUUCUCAAACUUUAAAUGGGUAAGAACCUCACCUUUCUUGGUAUGAAGGUUGUGGUUGUGAUAUAAUGUGCCCAGUGGGCCACUUUUGGUAAGCAGAACUGGCGCUGUGGGAUGAACCAAACGUAAUGUUACGGUGCCCAAAUUAACAACUCAUGCAGAUACCAUGAAAGGCGUUGGUUGCUUAAAACAGCAGGACGGUGGACAUGGAAGUCGUAAUCCGCUAAGGAGUGUGUAACAACUCACCUGCCGAAGCAACUAGCCCUUAAAAUGGAUGGCGCUUAAGUUGUAUACCUAUACAUUACCGCAAAGUAGAUGGUUUAUAUUCAAUCUCGGUUGGAUUUUAAACUUUGAAACUUUAGUGAGUAGGAGGGUACAAUGGUAAGCAUAGAAGUGUUUGGCGUAAGCCUGCAUGGAGCUGCCAUUGGCACAGAUCUUGGUGGUAGUAGCAAAUAAUCGAAUGAGACCUUGGAGGACUGAAGUGGAGAAGGGUUUCGUGUGAACAGUGGUUGAUCACGAGUUAGUCGGUCCUAAGUUUAAGGCGAAAGCCGAAAAUUUUCAAGUUAUAAUGAAUAAUAAUAAAACACUUGAAUAAUUUUGAACGAAAGGGAAUACGGUUCCAAUUCCGUAACCUGUUGAGUAUCCGUUUGUUAUUAAAUAUGGGCCUUGUGCUCAUCCUGGCAACAGGAACGACCAUAAAGAAGCCGUCGAGAGAUAUCGGAAGAGUUUUCUUUUCUGUUUUAUAGUCGUACUACCAUGGAAGUCUUUCGAAGAGAGAUAUGGUAGAUGGACUAGAAGAGCAUGACAUUUACUGUUGUGUCGAUAUUUUCUCCUCGGACCUUGAAAAUUUAUGGUGGGGUCACGCAAACUUCUCAACAGGCCGUACCAAUAUCCGCAGCUGGUCUCCAAGGUGAAGAGUCUCUAGUCGAUAGAAUAAUGUAGGUAAA